CUGCAAGUAAAGAUGGAGCCGAAAGGAUAGAAAUAAAAAAAGUAAUAUUUGGUACCUCGAGGCUCGAGCUAAUGAUCUUAUUCAUAUGACUGUUAAGCAUUUAAGGGAAUAACAAAAAGGAUCCUCCAGCACAUCCUUAUUUGUUCCCGGCCAAUAACCCAUCAUCCCCGACCUUUAAUAUCAUAAAAGUACCAAGAAAAUCAAACGAGUUCUUGAUGAGCGGUUAGUUUUUGACCGUCAUUUAACCCAAUUAGCUAAAUCUCACGAAUCGUACACCUUAUUAUCAACAAAGUCAAUGAACCAAAAUAAAGUUUGACGUAAAAAUACAUCGGUAGGGGAGCGUUCCGCCUGCAUAAUCUAUCAUGGUCAGUGUAGAGCCUCAUUCGAUAAUAAAAAUUCAACAAGAUAUGAGGAUUAGUAGUGAUCGGUUGUUAUUUCACUUUGGUUGAAAUAUCAAGAAAUUUAAUUCAUGAAAAAUUUGGAAUAUAUCAAGUAUUGUGGAUUUUGUUAUUAGUCUUUUUUUUUCUUGACUGAUGUGUGUUUGUCACGUAUGAAAACUAAACGGCACAUAACUAAAAUGUUAAGGGUCUUAACUGACCAACUCCUGAUGUCGAUAAUAGAUUUAUUAAAGAGUAGAAACUAGAGCUGAACAAAAAGACCGGUCCUAAAAAGCCCAUCUGGAUAAGCCCGAUAAAAAGCCCGGAUAAAGCCUGGAUAUGAAAAGCCCGGACCGGUCCAGGUCUGGCCUGCAAGUCCUUACAAGGCCUUAAUUUUACAACAAAAAUCUGGCCCGGUCCGGCCUGGAAAAUAACCAGGCCUGAUUAUUACCCGGAUAAAAGCCUGGUAGCCCGGUUAGCCUGGUGAAUACCUGUGCAUUUAUUAUUUUCAAUCACUCAGUUGUUACUUAUUUGUUUACUCACUUACAUCCACUGAUUAACUCAAGUCCUACUCAUCGUCUCUGUCUCGUCCCAUCCUCAACACAAUCAUCUAAAAAAAAAACUCUCAGCCCCCUUCAAGUUCAAUGCUUACCAAUGAAUCAAUUUCACAAUAUAUCUAGACAUCAAGUGGACAACCCAUCUCUCAUGUAUACAUUGCAGUGCCUCACGAGACCUAUUUCUCAAAGCAGAAAGAUUAUCAGAUGCCACAAUAUUACAUCGUUGAUCAUCCCGAUGCCGGGGAGAGCAACCAAAUGAGCUUGGAAUGAACUGAUGUUCAACACUUGGACCAGUAUGGCCUAGGCUUCAGAUCUGUAUUUAACAUUUAACUUUUUGCGGAGAGCUGUAUAUAAUUAUCUCACAAAACAAAAGCCCGGGUCAAAGCCCGGUUAGACUGGGCUGAUCCAUCGGGCUGGCUGCGGUCCUUCAUUCUUCAGCAUUUAUCAGGUCUGGCCCGGCCCGGUAAUCAAAAAAGCCUGGUCCAGUUAAAUCAGAAAAAGCCCGGGCUUUUAAAGGACCGGUCCUGGGCCUAGCAGGCCGGUCCUUUUGUUCAGCUUUAGUAGAAACCACUCUCUUAUAGGGAUGGGCGCAAGGGCACUUCGGGGUUGGAGAGUGUUAUCCCCGACCUCGAUCCCCGAAUUCAAUACCCUCCCCGCCCCCGCCCCGAACCCCGAACGGGGAUUAUUUUCCUCCCCCGAUCCCCGCCCCGAACGGGGAACGAUGAUCCCCGCGGGGAUUCGGGAAAUUUUAAUUUUUAAUAAAAAAAAUAAUAACUUUAUAAUAUAUAAUAUAUUUUUAAUAAAAAAACAAACUACUAAAUCCUAAU
RNAcentral lists this long non-coding RNA (1761 nucleotides) under Daucus carota (carrot). RNAcentral's name for it is "long non-coding RNA (DCAR_LNC002189)". Lineage: Eukaryota; Viridiplantae; Streptophyta; Magnoliopsida; Apiales; Apiaceae. The record is from RNAcentral.